GAGAUGUACCAUACCGGUGAAUGACUUACUCGAUAGUUCGCAAAUUGUAGCUACAUACAAAUGGAGGUAGAAAGUGGGCUAAGAAUAGGGAGCUUCUCCAUUACAAAUGAGAAGUUUACUGACUUGCAAGAAAGAAGUGUAUCUAAGUGCGUAGGAGUAUGAGGCAACAGGAACCAAAUGAUCACAUUACGAGAUGACCAACCAUUAAAGCUAGACAAUCAGCAACAUCGAUUGAUCGAGGAUCGAAGGCUAGGAAAAAACAGAUGUUCCAUAGUGAAUACAAAUGUUAAUAAAGAAAAAAAGAUAUAUAUAACACAAAUAUAUUACCAAAUCAAAUAAUCAAGAGAAGAUCAUGAUAUAUGCUCUGCUCGACGACUAGGAGAUCAGUCAGAUUUUGUUUCUCUGCUCGAAUGCUAGCAAUAUUAAGGGCGACACGCGUAGGGAUCGUCCUAGGAUGAGCUCAGGAUCACGACCGGAAAGAAAAUAGAAGGCAAGAAGCCCAGCUAGCGGAGAAAUAGGUAACUGUCACUCCUGGCCAUCUGUAUUAAUGAUGUGAGAUUAGGUGUGCAAUGUUUAGAUAGGCU
RNAcentral lists this long non-coding RNA (584 nucleotides) under Oryza brachyantha (malo sina). Its description in RNAcentral is "long non-coding RNA (OBRA_LNC003284)". The record is from RNAcentral. Lineage: Eukaryota; Viridiplantae; Streptophyta; Magnoliopsida; Poales; Poaceae.